This is a long non-coding RNA of Cygnus olor (mute swan), 711 nucleotides long. RefSeq lists it as uncharacterized. The transcript has 2 exons. NCBI's taxonomy places the organism in Eukaryota, Metazoa, Chordata, Aves, Anseriformes, Anatidae. The record is from RefSeq and is a predicted model, not a curated record.
CACAGUGUACAACACAGGACUUCAUGACCGGAGCUGCUUUUGGCAAGGUGAGCGAUGAACAGAUGUAGCAGUUAUUUUAGGGUUGCUGUUGUCACUGCACUUACUUAACUACACAAAAUACAGUUAAAGUCCUGUUUAUAUUCCAGAGGUGUUGUAGCUGGCUUAAGAGAGCAGAUGGAAGCAUCUGCCUCGGGCAGGUGAGGGGGCAGAGUAAGGGAGCAGAUGAGAGUACCUGUCCUAGCUGUGCUGUGGCUUUGGAUGCUGCCGCGGCCUAUGCUUUUCUUUUUCUUUCGCAGGUGCCUUGCACAGAGUCAGAGGGGACAAGCUGCACUCCUGAAGAGCAGCACGAGAAGGGCAGGCUGGUCGUGAGUGGGGUUGGAGCAGAAUGGCCAAGUAGCGCAAGGUGACUGCGAAGGGUAUCCAUCUUGCUUUGCAGGUGCCAUGGCAGGCUCUCCACACAAGUGGCUGAGGAGUUGAGAAGAGGUUACAGAGCAUCAAGGAGCAGCACGUGCAGUGAUGGCUUCCAAAUGGUGAAGAGGUGCCUGAAGCCCCAUCCUGUCUAGCCUGCGCACACCUCGCUAAGAAUGAAAGCUGCUUUCCAGUAAUUCAGACAGCCAAGUUACGUCUCAGCCUCGAGCAUCUGGGGACUGUGCCUGUGCUUUUGGGCCUGUCUGUAGCAUUUGGCACCUGCAUUAAUACUUUCUUGGCAUA